GUUACCGAACCCCAAGAGUCUCCUCGCAGUCGCCAGCCGUCCUUCCAAGCUGGCCCUCGGCAGGCUGGGAGUCUUAUCCGUGUCUUCUUUCCAUGCUCUGGUGUGUUCUAGAGAUGACUCGGCUCUCCGGAAAAGAACCCUUUCGCUGACCCAGCGAGGGAGGAGCAAGAAGGGCAUAUUUUCUUCCUUAAAAGGGCUGGACACGCUGGCAAGGAGAGGGAGGGAGAAAAGAGCGUCCGUGACUCAGGUGAGUCC
This 255-nucleotide long non-coding RNA is filed under the name Ictidomys tridecemlineatus (thirteen-lined ground squirrel). RNAcentral's name for it is "lncRNA (ENSSTOG00000032782.1)". The record is from RNAcentral. Lineage: Eukaryota; Metazoa; Chordata; Mammalia; Rodentia; Sciuridae.